Non-coding RNA from Russula dissimulans, 96 nucleotides. The record is from the annotation of a GenBank genome assembly. Lineage: Eukaryota; Fungi; Basidiomycota; Agaricomycetes; Russulales; Russulaceae.
GGCGCUAUAGUGUAGUGGCUAUCACAACGGAUUCUGACUUUCUAUGGUUAUCUUAGCCAUUUUCCGUUAACCCAGGUUCGAACCCUGGUAGCGCCU